This 66-nucleotide transfer RNA is filed under the name Stegodyphus mimosarum. It matches the Rfam family "tRNA". Rfam says of the family: Transfer RNA (tRNA) molecules are approximately 80 nucleotides in length. Their secondary structure includes four short double-helical elements and three loops (D, anti-codon, and T loops). Further hydrogen bonds mediate the characteristic L-shaped molecular structure. tRNAs have two regions of fundamental functional importance: the anti-codon, which is responsible for specific mRNA codon recognition, and the 3' end, to which the tRNAs corresponding amino acid is attached (by aminoacyl-tRNA synthetases). tRNAs cope with the degeneracy of the genetic code in two manners: having more than one tRNA (with a specific anti-codon) for a particular amino acid; and 'wobble' base-pairing, i.e. permitting non-standard base-pairing at the 3rd anti-codon position. The record is from Rfam by way of RNAcentral. Lineage: Eukaryota; Metazoa; Arthropoda; Arachnida; Araneae; Eresidae.
GCCUUCGUGGUGUAGUGGUCAGCACACUGAGCUGGUAUUUCCGUGGUUCGAUUCCCGGCGAAGGCG